AGGAGCGGAGUGAAAGGAAACUUUCACGCUCCGUUCUGAAGAGAGGUUUGAAGGGCGACCUUCACUCCUACUUUAAU
Stanieria cyanosphaera PCC 7437 is the source of this 77-nucleotide non-coding RNA. The record is from Rfam. Lineage: Bacteria; Bacillati; Cyanobacteriota; Cyanophyceae; Pleurocapsales; Dermocarpellaceae.